AUGAUGAUUUAGGCCACUGAAGGUCUCUGAACCUAGUAUCAGAUGACCUGGUAGCGGGACACAGGCCACAAGGCAAGAUGUCUACAGUGCGGCGCUUCUUCUGUCUGUUUGUCACGUUCGACCUGCUGUUCACCAGCCUCAUGUGGCUUAUUUGUGUUAUGAUGCGAGGCGAAACACUACAACAAAUAAUGAACACAGAGAUAGUGGAGUACAACGUGAAGGUAUCCCUGUUCGACAUAGUGAUGGUGGCUGUGUGUCGGUUUGUCGUGUUACUGCUCUUCUACGCCGUGCUCUAUAUCAAUAACUGGAGUAUUAUUGCUCUAUCAACAGGGUGUACGUGUGCUUUAUUAAUAGCUAAGGUUUUGUAUUUGACUGGCCGAAUGCAGUACAGCCAGUAUACGAGGUAUUCCUCAUUCUGACGUCAUUCACGUUAGCGUGGGGAGGCCUGGUUCCUCGACUUCCGGGUCCUGCCUCAGGAGUUGCAGGCUAAGCAGAUAUUAGAGUCUAUAGUCCACCACGGUGCCUCAGAACGCACCCUCUCCUGCCCCCUUGGCGGGUCAGUCGCAGUACGCGGAGUCCACCGUCAAGUGGUUCUCCCCGUCGAGACCCCCGAGUCCAGUCCGCGCCCGCGCCGCCCUGGGA
Helicoverpa armigera (cotton bollworm) is the source of this 642-nucleotide RNA transcript. It is a transcript of the gene named steroidogenic acute regulatory protein-like, with no coding region annotated. The record is from RefSeq and is a predicted model, not a curated record. The transcript has 5 exons. Lineage: Eukaryota; Metazoa; Arthropoda; Insecta; Lepidoptera; Noctuidae.